Molecule: long non-coding RNA, 673 nt
Filed under: Nicotiana tabacum (common tobacco)
Lineage: Eukaryota; Viridiplantae; Streptophyta; Magnoliopsida; Solanales; Solanaceae
Description: long non-coding RNA (NTAB_LNC007644)
Source: RNAcentral
CUCGAUCUCAAUAGAGAUCUUCGAACCAAAUUUGAUACCUAAUCGAACAAACUUGAGGUCUUGAUCGUCUCUGAAAAAGACUGGACAAGCUGCAGAUUCUAUUAUUCUCUUCUGAAAUUGUGGAUCUUCAUUCAAAUUCAGGGAAAAUGAAGACAAUUUUUCUGAUUUCACAGGAAAAGAACUUUUCUCAUCUGCAUUAUCGCCAAGCAAAUUGAGGUCAAAGUUAAACAUCUUUUCUGCUUGUUUUGAACUUUGAUUUGAAGAAUAACUUCUAAAAGUUGAUGUAAUCCUAUUUUCACUUGGCAAUUCGUCUUCUGAAGCAGCAGCAACAUUAAGGUCAAACUCCAUAAUUCUUUUCGUGUCCCAAUCUGAACUCUUGGAUAAAGAAGCAGCAGGGCAAAAAGCACCGGUCGCAGCAGUACCCCUCCAGCCUAGCCUGCCUUCAAAUUUCAAUGAACUCACAGUCGUAGACAAAGGAGGUAAAGGAACUCCAUAUUUAGCUACUAUUCGUAUCACUAUAUUUUGACCAUUUGAUUGCUUCGCAUCAUCAUCCAAAUCAUUUUGGUUGACGUCCUCAUUCAAAUCAAGCAUAUUGACUACUGGAGUCUGUCGCUAAUCUAUUUCAAACUUUGUGAGUGGACAAGCAGGUGAUUUCAGGCCACCAUUAAACUCG